GUCUAUCUGUAUAACUUUGCGCGAAAUCAAGUAAAGGAAAAGAAAUUUUUACCUUCUUGGAAAGGACCAUAUGUCAUCAUUGACAAAAUUUCCCCUGUAGCGUAUAAGAUAAAAAUUCCUAAGGAUGGUGAUUUUAUUGAAAAGUGGGUUCACAUUAACCAGUUGCGUGCUUGUCAUCCUAAAUCUCAAUUAAGGAUUAUAGGUGUGGAUUCAGACGCAGAAGGGUGAACG
Molecule: long non-coding RNA, 231 nt
Filed under: Pelobates cultripes (western spadefoot toad)
Lineage: Eukaryota; Metazoa; Chordata; Amphibia; Anura; Pelobatidae
Source: RNAcentral